RNAcentral lists this ribosomal RNA (544 nucleotides) under uncultured bacterium. RNAcentral describes it as "bacterial SSU rRNA". It matches the Rfam family "Bacterial small subunit ribosomal RNA", at positions 61 to 616 of the family's 1533-position model. The record is from RNAcentral.
GUCGAGGGGCAGCAUGUCUUAGCUUGCUAAGGCGAUGGCGACCGGCGCACGGGUGAGUAACACGUAUCCACCUGCCGUCUACUCUUGGACAGCCUUCUGAAAGGAAGAUUAAUACAAGAUGGCUCCGCAUGUUUAAAGGUAUUCGGUAGACGAUGGGGAUGCGUUCCAUUAGAUAGUAGGCGGGGUAACGGCCCACCUAGUCUUCGAUGGAUAGGGGUUCUGAGAGGAAGGUCCCCCACAUUGGAACUGAGACACGGUCCAAACUCCUACGGGAGGCAGCAGUGAGGAAUAUUGGUCAAUGGGCGAGAGCCUGAACCAGCCAAGUAGCGUGAAGGAUGACUGCCUAUGGGUUGUAAACUUCUUUUAUAAAGGAAUAAGUCGGGUAUGCAUACCCGUUUGCAUGUACUUUAUGAAUAAGGAUCGGCUAACUCCGUGCCAGCAGCCGCGGUAAUACGGAGGAUCCGAGCGUUAUCCGGAUUUAUUGGGUUUAAAGGGAGCGUAGAUGGAUGUUUAAGUCAGUUGUGAAAGUUUGCGGCUGGAUCAC